UCCCUGUAAACCUGCCCCAACAUAUAAUAGCCAACAGGGGUCGUGUUCCAUGGGGCAGGCUCUCCACAGCGGCCUAACAUUGUCUCCAGCCUGAGGGAGUUUGAGGUCCGUGCAGAGUUCUGCUGUGGCUGCAGUGGGUCCAGCCUGCUCAGAAAUGUGCUACAGCCUAAUGGUGUUUGAAAGAGUGCAGUGGAGUAUCCUGCACGAACACCUCCAGAAGCACCUCAGCGACGACCAAGAAGUGCAGCUGAUGGGUGGCAGAAGUCAGGAGUCUGUGCAGAAGGGGAGGAGUGAGUCGCUCAGUGUGCCUCUAAAGAAACUAGACAAGAGUGAACCAGAGAGUGAAGAGUAUUGUGAUGGAGUGAGAGAGCUGAGAGAGGCUGCUAUGAAGCUUUUGGGAUUCUUAGGAAAGUGAAGAAAAAAAUAAGCUGCCUUCAGAAAUGUAUUAGAAAAGUAAAGAAGAAUAUGAGAUGCCUGUAGAAAUGUAAUAUUACAAAAGAGGAAACAGGGAGCUAAAUGAGGCUGUGUUGAAGCUCCAGGAAGUCUUAGGAAAGUAAAGAAGGAGUAUAAGAUGCCCUCAAAAAUGUCCCUUUACAAAUAUUAGAAAAAAGUGAGCCAGAGAGUAAAUGUUCUUGCAAUGGAGUGAGGGAGCUAAAAGAGGCUGUUUUGAUGCUCUGGAAAAGUCUUAGGAAAGUAAAGAAGGAGUAUAAGAUGCCCUCAGAAAUGUCCCUUUACAAAUAUUAGAAAAGAGUGAACCAGAGAGUGAAUGUUCUUGUGAUGGAGUGAGGGAGCUAAAAGAGGCUGUUUUGAUGCUCUGGAAAAGUCUUAGGAAAGUAAAGAAGGAGUAUAAGAUGCCCUCAGAAAUGUCCCUUUACAAAUAUUAGAAAAGAGUGAGCCAGAGAGUGAAUAUUCUUGCAAUGGAAUAUUGAGGGAGCUAAAGGAGGCUGUUUUGAUGCUCUGGAAAAGUCUUAGGAAAGUAAAGAAAAUAUAAGAACUUGUUGAUAGCACAGAAGUCAUCACAGUUUUAUAUCUUUUAAGAAAUGUUAUUGUUAAGUUUAAGUAAUUUUUUGUGGGAAUAUGAUGUGACAAUGAAAUAAAACAACAAAUACCGAGGAAAAA
Eriocheir sinensis (Chinese mitten crab) is the source of this 1119-nucleotide long non-coding RNA. RefSeq lists it as uncharacterized. The transcript is spliced from 2 exons. The record is from RefSeq and is a predicted model, not a curated record. NCBI's taxonomy places the organism in Eukaryota, Metazoa, Arthropoda, Malacostraca, Decapoda, Varunidae.